This 248-nucleotide ribosomal RNA is filed under the name uncultured Actinomycetales bacterium. RNAcentral describes it as "partial 16S ribosomal RNA". It matches the Rfam family "Bacterial small subunit ribosomal RNA", at positions 83 to 334 of the family's 1533-position model. The record is from RNAcentral. Lineage: Bacteria; Bacillati; Actinomycetota; Actinomycetes; Actinomycetales.
CAGGGUACUCGAGUGGCGAACGGGUGAGUAACACGUGGGUGAUCUGCCCUGCACUUCGGGAUAAGCUUGGGAAACUGGGUCUAAUACCGGAUAGGACCGCACUUUAGUGUGUGUGGUGGAAAGUUUUUUCGGUGUAGGAUUAGCUCGCGGCCUAUCAGCUUGUUGGUGGGGUAAUGGCCUACCAAGGCGGCGACGGGUAGCCGGCCUGAGAGGGUGUACGGCCACAUUGGGACUGAGAUACGGCCCAG